CAAGGUAUUUUGCUGUACCUGAUUUUCAUUGAACGGGGACGGAUGCCGGUUGAUGUCGACGCUAACCGCGAGGAAAAAGGAGGGGGCUGACUGCCCUGCUCCGCGGGACUUCAGGAAGAGGGCGCUGUUCUACCGCUUGUCGAAGGCUCGGAGAGAUGGGAGAGUACCCCUCACCGGAGCCGUACAGUGCCCACGACUUCUUCCGGAGCCGAGGUGAACCCCGGGUUCAACCCCAAGGAAGAAGAGGCGGAG
RNAcentral lists this long non-coding RNA (252 nucleotides) under Salvia miltiorrhiza (redroot sage). RNAcentral's name for it is "long non-coding RNA (SMIL_LNC014112)". The record is from RNAcentral. Lineage: Eukaryota; Viridiplantae; Streptophyta; Magnoliopsida; Lamiales; Lamiaceae.